RNAcentral lists this ribosomal RNA (433 nucleotides) under uncultured bacterium. Its description in RNAcentral is "partial 16S ribosomal RNA". It matches the Rfam family "Bacterial small subunit ribosomal RNA", at positions 29 to 507 of the family's 1533-position model. The record is from RNAcentral.
AACGAACGCUGGCGGCAUGCCUAACACAUGCAAGUCGAACGAGACCUUCGGGUCUAGUGACGCACGGGUGCGUAACGCGUGGGAACCUGCCCUUAGGUUCGGAAUAACUCCCCGAAAGGGGUGCUAAUACCGGAUAAUGUCUUCGGACCAAAGAUUUAUCGCCUUUGGAUGGGCCCGCGUUGGAUUAGCUAGUUGGUAGGGUAAAAGCCUACCAAGGCGACGAUCCAUAGCUGGUCUGAGAGGAUGAUCAGCCACACUGGGACUGAGACACGGCCCAGACUCCUACGGGAAGCAGCAGUGGGGAAUAUUGGACAAUGGGCGAAAGCCUGAUCCAGCAAUGCCGCGUGAGUGAUGAAGGCCUUAGGGUUGUAAAGCUCUUUUACCCGGGAUGAUAAUGACAGUACCGGGAGAAUAAGCCCCGGCUAACUCCGUG